AGUGAACGCUGGCGGUAGGCCUAACACAUGCAAGUCGAACGGCAGCACAGUAAGAGCUUGCUCUUACGGGUGGCGAGUGGCGGACGGGUGAGGAAUACAUCGGAAUCUACUUUUUCGUGGGGGAUAACGUAGGGAAACUUACGCUAAUACCGCAUACGACCUACGGGUGAAAGCAGGGGAUCUUCGGACCUUGCGCGAUUGAAUGAGCCGAUGUCGGAUUAGCUAGUUGGCGGGGUAAAGGCCCACCAAGGCGACGAACCGUAGCUGGUCUGAGAGGAUGAUCAGCCACACUGGAACUGAGACACGGCCCAGACUCCUACGGGGGGCAGCAGUGGGGAAUAUUGGACAAUGGGCGCAAGCCUGAUCCAGCCAUACCGCGUGGGUGAAGAAGGCCUUCGGGUUGUAAAGCCCUUUUGUUGGGAAAGAAAAGCAGCAGGUUAAUACCCCGCUGUUCUGACGGUACCCAAAGAAUAAGCACCGGCUAACUUCGUG
Molecule: ribosomal RNA, 492 nt
Filed under: uncultured bacterium
Lineage: Bacteria
Description: partial 16S ribosomal RNA
Rfam family: Bacterial small subunit ribosomal RNA
Source: RNAcentral